This 2903-nucleotide ribosomal RNA is filed under the name Escherichia coli. RNAcentral describes it as "23S ribosomal RNA". It matches the Rfam family "Bacterial large subunit ribosomal RNA". The record is from RNAcentral. Lineage: Bacteria; Pseudomonadati; Pseudomonadota; Gammaproteobacteria; Enterobacterales; Enterobacteriaceae.
GUUAAGCGACUAAGCGUACACGGUGGAUGCCCUGGCAGUCAGAGGCGAUGAAGGACGUGCUAAUCUGCGAUAAGCGUCGGUAAGGUGAUAUGAACCGUUAUAACCGGCGAUUUCCGAAUGGGGAAACCCAGUGUGUUUCGACACACUAUCAUUAACUGAAUCCAUAGGUUAAUGAGGCGAACCGGGGGAACUGAAACAUCUAAGUACCCCGAGGAAAAGAAAUCAACCGAGAUUCCCCCAGUAGCGGCGAGCGAACGGGGAGCAGCCCAGAGCCUGAAUCAGUGUGUGUGUUAGUGGAAGCGUCUGGAAAGGCGCGCGAUACAGGGUGACAGCCCCGUACACAAAAAUGCACAUGCUGUGAGCUCGAUGAGUAGGGCGGGACACGUGGUAUCCUGUCUGAAUAUGGGGGGACCAUCCUCCAAGGCUAAAUACUCCUGACUGACCGAUAGUGAACCAGUACCGUGAGGGAAAGGCGAAAAGAACCCCGGCGAGGGGAGUGAAAAAGAACCUGAAACCGUGUACGUACAAGCAGUGGGAGCCUCUUUUAUGGGGUGACUGCGUACCUUUUGUAUAAUGGGUCAGCGACUUAUAUUCUGUAGCAAGGUUAACCGAAUAGGGGAGCCGAAGGGAAACCGAGUCUUAACUGGGCGUUAAGUUGCAGGGUAUAGACCCGAAACCCGGUGAUCUAGCCAUGGGCAGGUUGAAGGUUGGGUAACACUAACUGGAGGACCGAACCGACUAAUGUUGAAAAAUUAGCGGAUGACUUGUGGCUGGGGGUGAAAGGCCAAUCAAACCGGGAGAUAGCUGGUUCUCCCCGAAAGCUAUUUAGGUAGCGCCUCGUGAAUUCAUCUCCGGGGGUAGAGCACUGUUUCGGCAAGGGGGUCAUCCCGACUUACCAACCCGAUGCAAACUGCGAAUACCGGAGAAUGUUAUCACGGGAGACACACGGCGGGUGCUAACGUCCGUCGUGAAGAGGGAAACAACCCAGACCGCCAGCUAAGGUCCCAAAGUCAUGGUUAAGUGGGAAACGAUGUGGGAAGGCCCAGACAGCCAGGAUGUUGGCUUAGAAGCAGCCAUCAUUUAAAGAAAGCGUAAUAGCUCACUGGUCGAGUCGGCCUGCGCGGAAGAUGUAACGGGGCUAAACCAUGCACCGAAGCUGCGGCAGCGACGCUGAUGCGUUGUUGGGUAGGGGAGCGUUCUGUAAGCCUGUGAAGGUGUGCUGUGAGGCAUGCUGGAGGUAUCAGAAGUGCGAAUGCUGACAUAAGUAACGAUAAAGCGGGUGAAAAGCCCGCUCGCCGGAAGACCAAGGGUUCCUGUCCAACGUUAAUCGGGGCAGGGUGAGUCGACCCCUAAGGCGAGGCCGAAAGGCGUAGUCGAUGGGAAACAGGUUAAUAUUCCUGUACUUGGUGUUACUGCGAAGGGGGGACGGAGAAGGCUAUGUUGGCCGGGCGACGGUUGUCCCGGUUUAAGCGUGUAGGCUGGUUUUCCAGGCAAAUCCGGAAAAUCAAGGCUGAGGCGUGAUGACGAGGCACUACGGUGCUGAAGCAACAAAUGCCCUGCUUCCAGGAAAAGCCUCUAAGCAUCAGGUAACAUCAAAUCGUACCCCAAACCGACACAGGUGGUCAGGUAGAGAAUACCAAGGCGCUUGAGAGAACUCGGGUGAAGGAACUAGGCAAAAUGGUGCCGUAACUUCGGGAGAAGGCACGCUGAUAUGUAGGUGAAGUCCCUUGCGGAUGGAGCUGAAAUCAGUCGAAGAUACCAGCUGGCUGCAACUGUUUAUUAAAAACACAGCACUGUGCAAACACGAAAGUGGACGUAUACGGUGUGACGCCUGCCCGGUGCCGGAAGGUUAAUUGAUGGGGUCAGCGCAAGCGAAGCUCUUGAUCGAAGCCCCGGUAAACGGCGGCCGUAACUAUAACGGUCCUAAGGUAGCGAAAUUCCUUGUCGGGUAAGUUCCGACCUGCACGAAUGGCGUAAUGAUGGCCAGGCUGUCUCCACCCGAGACUCAGUGAAAUUGAACUCGCUGUGAAGAUGCAGUGUACCCGCGGCAAGACGGAAAGACCCCGUGAACCUUUACUAUAGCUUGACACUGAACAUUGAGCCUUGAUGUGUAGGAUAGGUGGGAGGCUUAGAAGUGUGGACGCCAGUCUGCAUGGAGCCGACCUUGAAAUACCACCCUUUAAUGUUUGAUGUUCUAACGUGGACCCGUAAUCCGGGUUGCGGACAGUGUCUGGUGGGUAGUUUGACUGGGGCGGUCUCCUCCUAAAGAGUAACGGAGGAGCACGAAGGUUGGCUAAUCCUGGUCGGACAUCAGGAGGUUAGUGCAAUGGCAUAAGCCAGCUUGACUGCGAGCGUGACGGCGCGAGCAGGUGCGAAAGCAGGUCAUAGUGAUCCGGUGGUUCUGAAUGGAAGGGCCAUCGCUCAACGGAUAAAAGGUACUCCGGGGAUAACAGGCUGAUACCGCCCAAGAGUUCAUAUCGACGGCGGUGUUUGGCACCUCGAUGUCGGCUCAUCACAUCCUGGGGCUGAAGUAGGUCCCAAGGGUAUGGCUGUUCGCCAUUUAAAGUGGUACGCGAGCUGGGUUUAGAACGUCGUGAGACAGUUCGGUCCCUAUCUGCCGUGGGCGCUGGAGAACUGAGGGGGGCUGCUCCUAGUACGAGAGGACCGGAGUGGACGCAUCACUGGUGUUCGGGUUGUCAUGCCAAUGGCACUGCCCGGUAGCUAAAUGCGGAAGAGAUAAGUGCUGAAAGCAUCUAAGCACGAAACUUGCCCCGAGAUGAGUUCUCCCUGACCCUUUAAGGGUCCUGAAGGAACGUUGAAGACGACGACGUUGAUAGGCCGGGUGUGUAAGCGCAGCGAUGCGUUGAGCUAACCGGUACUAAUGAACCGUGAGGCUUAACCUU